This 737-nucleotide ribosomal RNA is filed under the name Bradyrhizobium oligotrophicum. RNAcentral describes it as "bacterial SSU rRNA". It matches the Rfam family "Bacterial small subunit ribosomal RNA", at positions 121 to 895 of the family's 1533-position model. The record is from RNAcentral. Lineage: Bacteria; Pseudomonadati; Pseudomonadota; Alphaproteobacteria; Hyphomicrobiales; Nitrobacteraceae.
GAAUCGUACCUUUUCGGUUCGGAACAACACAGGGAAACUUGUGCUAAUACCGGAUAAGCCCUUACGGGGAAAGAUUUAUCGCCGAAAGAUCGGCCCGCGUCUGAUUAGCUAGUUGGUGGGGUAAUGGCCCACCAAGGCGACGAUCAGUAGCUGGUCUGAGAGGAUGAUCAGCCACAUUGGGACUGAGACACGGCCCAAACUCCUACGGGAGGCAGCAGUGGGGAAUAUUGGACAAUGGGGGCAACCCUGAUCCAGCCAUGCCGCGUGAGUGAUGAAGGCCCUAGGGUUGUAAAGCUCUUUUGUGCGGGAAGAUAAUGACGGUACCGCAAGAAUAAGCCCCGGCUAACUUCGUGCCAGCAGCCGCGGUAAUACGAAGGGGGCUAGCGUUGCUCGGAAUCACUGGGCGUAAAGGGUGCGUAGGCGGGUCUUUAAGUCAGGGGUGAAAUCCUGGAGCUCAACUCCAGAACUGCCUUUGAUACUGAAGAUCUUGAGUUCGGGAGAGGUGAGUGGAACUGCGAGUGUAGAGGUGAAAUUCGUAGAUAUUCGCAAGAACACCAGUGGCGAAGCGGCUCACUGGCCCGAUACUGACGCUGAGGCACGAAAGCGUGGGAGCAAACAGAUUAGAUACCCUGGUAGUCCACGCCGUAAACGAUGAAUGCCAGCCGUUGGUGGGUUUACUCACCAGUGGCGCAGCUACGCUUUAAGCAUUCCGCCUGGGGAGUACGGUCCGCAAGAUA